GAUACCCUACGGGGGGCAGCAGUGGGGGAUAUUGCACAAUGGGGGAAACCCUGAUGCAGCGACGCCGCGUGAGAGAUGAAGUAUUUCGGUAUGUAAAGCUCUAUCAGCAGGGAAGAAAAUGACGGUACCUGACUAAGAAGCCCCGGCUAACUACGUGCCAGCAGCCGCGGUAAUACGUAGGGGGCAAGCGUUAUCCGGAUUUACUGGGUGUAAAGGGAGCGUAGACGGCAA
RNAcentral lists this ribosomal RNA (231 nucleotides) under uncultured bacterium. RNAcentral describes it as "partial 16S ribosomal RNA". It matches the Rfam family "Bacterial small subunit ribosomal RNA", at positions 333 to 581 of the family's 1533-position model. The record is from RNAcentral.